UGCAGAGCCAAGAUGGAUGCCAAGCAC
This 27-nucleotide non-coding RNA is filed under the name Mus musculus (house mouse). The record is from RNAcentral. Lineage: Eukaryota; Metazoa; Chordata; Mammalia; Rodentia; Muridae.